This is a long non-coding RNA of Biomphalaria glabrata, 1423 nucleotides long. RefSeq lists it as uncharacterized. The record is from RefSeq and is a predicted model, not a curated record. Lineage: Eukaryota; Metazoa; Mollusca; Gastropoda; Planorbidae. The transcript is spliced from 4 exons.
UAUAAUCUAUCAAUUCUAUCUAAAUCUAGACUUCACUUUCACAUCACAUUCACAUGAUUAUUGAUACAGACAGUGAAUGAAAUGAAUGCAGUGGUUAUACUGAUUAUACUUAAAGUGACAAUACUACUUAUAGAUCUACCAGUUGAUAAACAUCAUCAUCAUAGAUAAUAAUCUACAUCUAUAAUCAUAGUGCCCUUUAUUUAGUCAAUAUAGUCAAGUCAAGAUAGUGGAACGUAAACUUGAAGGUUUAAUGUUUAAUACAAUACGUUAUUAACAAGUAGAACCAUGGCAACCAGUUCUGAUGAUGUACCAGAAUGGCUCAAGGAUCAUACUUAUACUAUUUCUACUCUCUGGGCAUCCAUUCAAUAUUUAAUUUAUGUUUGGAAAUGCAAGAAAAAGGCAUGCAUUCCUGAAAAGUCAAUGAUUGGUUGCACCUCUUAAAGAUAACUUUCUGUUAUGAGAAAAGAUGAGAUUCUUGGACUCCUGCAUAGCACCACCAGAAAGGAAAAUCCCAUCAUGUUGCAAAAUAAAAGUCUUGGACCAAUUUUAAUUUAAGAUAUAUAUAUUAUACUGUAAGCUGUAUACAUAUUUAUGUAUAUCCUGUCAUUCAGCCAACAGGUUUGGAUUUAGUAUUUCUUUAAAUCUGUUUGAUAUUGUACUUAAAAACUAUUAAUCUGAGCCCCAUUAAAACAAGAGGGAGUGCAGUGGAUGAGUGGUAAGGGAAAUUUUACUUUUUUUAAAUUAAAAUAAGAAUCUAACAAAAGUAAACAUAUAAAAUAUGGUGCAUUCUCCUUAAAACUAAAACCUGGUGCAAAGGUUUAAAAUGUUGGCAAAAAAAAAGCAACAUCAAUUAAAUAUUCUUAAUUCCCUAUGCAAAACUUACUGAGAAGAACAUGCAUGUUGUUCCCUCAUAAGUUUCUUGACAGAGGAAAUCUUGUUUAUAUUAGAUUUGAAUUAAGCAAAUUAAGAAAAAAAUUAUAAUCAUUAUUUCAAAUGGUUGUAUCUAAACCUUAUGAAUUAUUUUUCAGUUAUAAGUAUAUUGAAAUGAAUGGAUAAUCAUGAAAUUGUUAAAUAAUUGCUGCUAUCAUUCCAUUGACUAAAGAACCAUAAUUUUUUUUUUAAUUAAUUUCAAAAUUAAUUAAUUAAUUAAUUUUCAAGCAGAGUUCACAUAGAUCUUGAGUGAAAUUUUUCUUUUUUUGACUAAUGCUUCAAUUUUAUUGUAUCAUUAGUUUUUUAUUUUUAUUACCCAGAAUAUUUUAAAAAUGAGUACACUAUUUUCAUGUAAUAAUGUAACUUGGUAUUCACACAUCAAAAUACGCUAUAAUCUUUAGGCCAUAUAGAUUUGUAUAAAUAUAAAUGAACUUGCUUAAAUACAUUGUAAAUGUAUAUUGUUUGGAUAAGAAUAAAGUUUUUCUGUAGACAA